Molecule: non-coding RNA, 936 nt
Filed under: Drosophila simulans
Lineage: Eukaryota; Metazoa; Arthropoda; Insecta; Diptera; Drosophilidae
Description: Eukaryotic large subunit ribosomal RNA
Rfam family: Eukaryotic large subunit ribosomal RNA
Source: Rfam by way of RNAcentral
CGCCACUGUGGUGGAUUCGGUUCCAAUUCCGUAACCUGUUGAGUAUCCGUUUGUUAUUAAAUAUGGGCCUCGUGCUCAUCCUGGCAACAGGAACGACCAUAAAGAAGCCGUCGAGAGAUAUCGGAAGAGUUUUCUUUUCUGUUUUAUAGCCGUACUACCAUGGAAGUCUUUCGCAGAGAAAUAUGGUAGAUGGGCUAGAAGAGCAUGACAUAUACUGUUGUGUCGAUAUUUUCUCCUCGGACCUUGAAAAUUUAUGGUGGGGACACGCAAACUUCUCAACAGGCCGUACCAAUAUCCGCAGCUGGUCUCCAAGGUGAAGAGUCUCUAGUCGAUAGAAUAAUGUAGGUAAGGGAAGUCGGCAAAUUAGAUCCGUAACUUCGGGAUAAGGAUUGGCUCUGAAGAUUGAGAUAGUCGGGCUUGAUUGGGAAACAAUAACAUGGUUUAUGUGCUCGUUCUGGGUAAAUAGAGUUUCUAGCAUUUAUGUUAGUUACUUGUUCCCCGGAUAGUUUAGUUACGUAGCCAAUUGUGGAACUUUCUUGCUAAAAUUUUUAAGAAUACUAUUUGGGUUAAACCAAUUAGUUCUUAUCAAUUAUAACGAUUAUCAAUUAACAAUCAAUUCAGAACUGGCACGGACUUGGGGAAUCCGACUGUCUAAUUAAAACAAAGCAUUGUGAUGGCCCUAGCGGGUGUUGACACAAUGUGAUUUCUGCCCAGUGCUCUGAAUGUCAAAGUGAAGAAAUUCAAGUAAGCGCGGGUCAACGGCGGGAGUAACUAUGACUCUCUUAAGGACUUAGGACUGUCCUUAUCCCACAGCUCUAUCACAAGUUAGCCCUUGGGAGUGUGGCGAUAGGCGUCCUACGAAAAACUGACAAAUUAAUAAGAUACUAUGUGCGAAGAUGGCUAAAUCUUCCGCUGGAUAUGCCGAUAGCAUUCAUU